Molecule: unclassified non-coding RNA, 675 nt
Filed under: Hevea brasiliensis (rubber tree)
Lineage: Eukaryota; Viridiplantae; Streptophyta; Magnoliopsida; Malpighiales; Euphorbiaceae
Source: RNAcentral
GCAACUUCAAAUCCUGAUUUUAUAUGCAUGUUUAUAGAAAGCAAAUGAAAACCCCAUAGAUUGCAAGAUAUUUUAUAUCUGAAAUUUGAUUUCCUAUUUUACAAUCAAAUUUUAAUGCAUUACAAACCUUAAAACUUAACAAAAUAAAAUCAAAAGCAAAUUCUAAUACAAAUAAUUCUAGUUGAUCAUGUAUUUUCUUGUUUUGAUCUCACAGAAUAUCUUUAUUUAGUUUAUCAUGUUUCUACAACUAAAUUAAGAAAAGUAAUGGUCCAUGUAUGUACAAGAAUAAAGCAAAAUUAACAAAACUACAGUAAUAAUAUCUAUGUAGGUUUUGAUGGAGGAGUAAUCUUGAUGACAAGUCCAGGGAAAACAUCAUCUGGAUCAUGGAUAUGAGGGUUCUGCUCCACUAUAAAGGGAUCACCACACUUAUCGCUAAUGGUGUGAAGGGUUUCUCCUUCUUGAACAACAUAAAUCUCAUCGCAAGGUCGCUCCAAGAUUUGAUUGCCUCUGAUAAUCUCAUAAGGAUCGUACGACGCUUGAGACGUUUCUCUCAUAUAGCUUUGCAACAUGAGGAUCACAAGGACAAGGACGCAGUACCAUGAAGCUGCAUCAGCUAUGGACAUUAGUGUGAAGGCAGACUUCUUCCAGAGUUUGGAAGCCAUGAGAAAGAGAGAG